AUGGAUUAGCAACUAGCCCAAUCUCAAAGCUUGCCUCAGACGAAGGAUUCAACACCAAUAGUCACACUCGUUCGGAGCUUUGGCAAUUUUAGAGCCCUGUAAAAGCCUUUUAUUCAUCAAUAGAGAGCCAUUGGGUGUUUCCCAAUAUGCCUUACAAGUUUGCCAUUGAAAGUUCUGUCUACGUUAAUGCAACAGCUUAAACAUAAUAAUUCUAAGUUAGAAACACAGACAACUAACUGGCUAGAACGUGCUAUCAUAUCCUAGUGGAAAUGGAAGGACCGUAAAUUAUAGUGAUAGAAUCUAGCACACUUUUUGCAGUUUCAACAGGAUUUGCAUUUUUAAAAUGUGUUUCAAUGUUGCAAAAACCGGUUUGUUGUGCAGCCUGGUGGACAGGCCUUCAUACUGUGCAAAGGAGCCAUUCGGAUUGCUGUACAGUCUUCUGUUCUUUACAUGCACCAUAAUUCGUGCUUGAUAUUACAAUCUAUAUUAUUAGGCAUCCCCACUUUAUUCUAUGCUUUUUAUAAGGCAAAAGGAGUGAUUGCUGAGAGGCGGCUUUGCCAUCACUGUGACUAAGGGAACUGGCAACCUGUGUCAAGCCGUGGUGCUUAUGCGCAGUGCGUAUACAUGCUGAGUGCACAAACACGAACCACAGCAACAGGGGCUUUAUAAGCACAAUGUUGCUUUCUUAUAGAUAAGGCCUUGCUCGUUUGCUGGCGUAUUAUUGCUAUUGUGCUAAACUACCACUGUUUACAAUGUGUUGUGUGUAUGACUGAAUUGGUGCGUAAAAUUGUGAUAAAAAUUUCGAGCCAUUCCAUUUUGUGAAGGCAGGUUACCAGUGAAGCUGUCUAGCACAUAACACACAAAUAUGAACAAAUGUAUGAACUCGUUUCUUGUUAUGAUUGGUGGUAAAUGUGAUGAAAGGUACACACACACACAUUUGUUGUCUUGAUCGGUGGCUCAUUAUUUUUUGGUCAUGGUGAUGACGAUGGCCUUAUUGUUGCUAUGAUGCGCAAUGAUCAGCUUGGUUACAACCUUGCACAUGUUCUUAGCCAGAGUCUCAUCUAUGCCUGUCUGGUGGUGAGGUUUGUACAAAUUGUGUCGCACAGGAAGCCAAAGCAUUCUAACACAAAUUGCAUAACUACGGUGGUUUGUUUUUGUGUUUUAUAUUUUUUCAAAUUAGAGGGUAAAAAUUGGGUGCUAUUUUUCAAGCUGGUAAUUUGAGAGAAAUCACAUUUUUCGUGGAACCAUCAUUGAACUGCAUGUUUUUGGGGGGGUUUAGUUUAGAAAUGCUACAUGAAAUACAUUUACACAAAUUGAUAAGUCAAAAGGACAGUAAAGAGCCUUGAUAACAUCUAGGAAAAGACACAUUUAAUUCACAAAAAGCUGAUCACCGAUUUUUUACGCGUCCUUGUUAACGUACAUUGCCAUUUGCAUGUGCAGCAUGUUGGUCUUCAUUCGAGAGCUGUCUCACCUUUGGAUGUACAGAGGCAUCCACUUCCACCUUGAGCACCGCACCGUGCAGCCAACGCUCCGCGGAGCGUCUCUCGCGGGCGGCUGGGGCACGCAAGCGCAGUGACAACUGUAGGUGGUGCCUUCGCCGCGUCGUCUGCUAAAGCGCAGCGGCUCCGCCCAAUCGCGCUUGCUCUUCGAUGAAGCAUCGGUUUCUCAAUUCCUCGAAAGAGCCACGACGUGCGCUCUUAGCAAUUGAUGGGUACCAUGUGCACAGAGGCCAAGGGAUCGAUCAGCUGGCCAAAAUCGUCAGUUCUCUUGCCCGUGACUUCGGACCUGGAGUGAAGUCACAUGGACACAGCGAGCUGGGUAUCUGCUACAGGCUGCUGAAGUGCAGCCACUGCAACACAAAAGGCCACGAAGUCCUGCGAGUGCAGCAAAUUCCUUCGCCUACCUUCCCAACAUGAACCAAGACUGCUUUAGAUCAUCUUAAUGUGUAAAGCAGCACACAAAAACAAGACAUGAAAGGAGGAAUACAAUUGAACAGGCCAACCA
This is a long non-coding RNA of Rhipicephalus sanguineus (brown dog tick), 2004 nucleotides long. RefSeq lists it as uncharacterized. The record is from RefSeq and is a predicted model, not a curated record. Lineage: Eukaryota; Metazoa; Arthropoda; Arachnida; Ixodida; Ixodidae. The transcript has 2 exons.